ACUAUUUUGACAGAUUUAUGUGUUAGAUUUAGAAUCUAUUUAUGUGAUUUUUCACAAUUAGUA
This 63-nucleotide transfer RNA is filed under the name Zhengitettix curvispinus. RNAcentral's name for it is "tRNA-Leu". The record is from RNAcentral. Lineage: Eukaryota; Metazoa; Arthropoda; Insecta; Orthoptera; Tetrigidae.